This is a transfer RNA of Felis catus (domestic cat), 85 nucleotides long. It matches the Rfam family "tRNA". From Rfam's summary of the family: Transfer RNA (tRNA) molecules are approximately 80 nucleotides in length. Their secondary structure includes four short double-helical elements and three loops (D, anti-codon, and T loops). NCBI's taxonomy places the organism in Eukaryota, Metazoa, Chordata, Mammalia, Carnivora, Felidae. The record is from Rfam.
GCCUGGGUGGCUCACUCGGCUAAGCGUCUGACUUGGGCUCAGGUUAUGAUCUCACGGUUCGUGGGUUCGAGCCCCACAUCGGGCU